Molecule: ribosomal RNA, 504 nt
Filed under: uncultured bacterium
Lineage: Bacteria
Description: partial 16S ribosomal RNA
Rfam family: Bacterial small subunit ribosomal RNA
Source: RNAcentral
AUUGAACGCUGGCGGCAGGCCUAACACAUGCAAGUCGAACGGUAGCACAGAGAGCUUGCUCUCGGGUGACGAGUGGCGGACGGGUGAGUAACGUCUGGGAAACUGCCCGAUGGAGGGGGAUAACUACUGGAAACGGUAGCUAAUACCGCAUAACGUCGCGAGACCAAAGUGGGGGACCUUCGGGCCUCACACCAUCGGAUGUGCCCAGAUGGGAUUAGCUAGUAGGCGGGGUAAUGGCUCACCUAGGCGGCGAUCCCUAGCUGGUCUGAGAGGAUGACCAGCCACACUGGAACUGAGACACGGUCCAGACUCCUACGGGAGGCAGCAGUGGGGAAUAUUGCACAAUGGGCGCAAGCCUGAUGCAGCCAUGCCGCGUGUAUGAAGAAGGCCUUCGGGUUGUAAAGUACUUUCAGCGGGGAGGAAGGCGGUGAAGUUAAUAGCUUCACCGAUUGACGUUACCCGCAGAAGAAGCACCGGCUAACUCCGUGUCAGCCGCCGCCGUAA